AAACCAGGAUUAGAUACCCUGGUUAGUUCACCCCGUAAACGAUGAAUAUUAGGUGUCGGGGGGACAAAAGUCCUUUCGGUGCCGGUCGCAAACGCAGUAAGUAUUCCACCUGGGGAGUACGUUUCGCUAGAAAGAAACUCAAAAGAAUAGACGGGGACCCGCACAAGCGGUGGAGCAUGUGGUUUAAUUUGAAGCAACGCGAAGAACCUUACCAAAUCUUGACAUCCCUCUUUCCAGCCCGUAAUGGGGGUUUCCCUUCUGGGCAGAGGAGACAGGUGGUGCAUGGUUGUUGUCAGCUCGCGUCGUGAGAUGUUGGGUUAAGUCCCGCAACGAGCGCAACCCCUGUUCUUUGUAGCCAGCAUGUUAAGAUGGGCACUCUAAGGAGACUGCCGGGGAUAACCCGGAGGAAGGUGGGGAGGACGUCAAAUCAUCAUGCCCCCUACGAUUUGGGGUACACACGUGCUACAAUGGCGUAAACAAAGGGAGGGGAACCCGCGAGGGGGAGCAAAUCCCAAAAAUAACGUCUCAGUUCGGAUUGUAGUCUGCAACUCGACUACAUGAAGCUGGAAUCGCUAGUAAUCGCAAAUCAGAAUGUUGCGGUGAAUAAGUUCCCGGGUCUUGUACACACCGCCCGUCA
RNAcentral lists this ribosomal RNA (637 nucleotides) under uncultured bacterium. Its description in RNAcentral is "bacterial SSU rRNA". It matches the Rfam family "Bacterial small subunit ribosomal RNA", at positions 770 to 1399 of the family's 1533-position model. The record is from RNAcentral.